RNAcentral lists this long non-coding RNA (10008 nucleotides) under Podarcis lilfordi (Lilford's wall lizard). Lineage: Eukaryota; Metazoa; Chordata; Lepidosauria; Squamata; Lacertidae. The record is from RNAcentral.
CCCCAGCAGCCUUCCUUCCUUCCUUCCCCAUUCGUCUUUGCAGAACCACAGCUUCUGCACUCCUCUCUGGGGAAAGAGGGAGCCGCCUGUCCCAAAGAAAGCAGAGUUGUCCCACCCGGCCUCCUGUCUCAUUGGGGUGAAGGGUCCAGCCAAGCACAGCGAGCGACCUGGGGGUCACUGGCGGCUGAGUGGAAGCAGGAGCGGCUGGAGGAACCCAGGCAUCCUGGUGGUCCUGCUGGCGGCAGCAUCCGGCGUGUGAAGUCCCACAAUGGGGAGGAGGCAGGAGCGUCAUCGAAGCCUAGCAGGUGAGGCAAACAGGGGUGUCAGAGAAAGCCUAGGCGUUUCGCAAGGUGCUGAAAGGGAACCGCAACAGGUUUUCCUCUUUCUUUGUGGCUGCAUUCCCUGUGGCUGUGUCCAUUUGUAUAAGAGAGAGGGGGGAAGAAGGGGUGGGAGCAGGCCAAUUUGACAACAUCCCUGCCCAUGGAUCCUCAGCAACAACAACAACAAGUGGUUUCUUUUAAAAUUGUAGACCAAUGCAGAAAGAAGGAAGUUUGCAAGCAUGCAGUUGAACACACACAAAAGCAACAUACAAACAAACGUACGGUGUAUUCCCACGCAUGUUGACUCGGAAGAUAGCCCCGGUUAGUUUAAUGGAACUUACGUACUUCCAUGUAGGGGUCAGUUUUGAUUUUCUCCGUAUCUCGUUUUUCCAAUCUCAAACUCGGUUCUCCACAUUUUGAAGCAAUUUGUGAUUUUAUUAUUAAAUGCUCGUUGAAAUUGUUCUGCAAAUUAGUGGGCAUUUCUCCUAAUAAACAUGCUUUUGUGUGCAGUUUUGACUAAUUGUGCGCACUUUUCGGAAGCAAUUUCUUCUAAUGUAAUGCACUUUUGUAUAUUAUGUUCUGCGAAGAACAUAUUUCAUAUUUAUGCAAAUCUUCUCCACAAUAUUCAACUUGGUAGGGGAACUACAUCAUAAAAUUCAAUAAAGUGAGAAUUUUGAAGGAUGUCUUUAUUUUCAUUAUUGUACUGUUUUGGGACAUGCAAAUCUGAGAGACUGAUUUUCAUAUGAACUGAAUCAAAUUUCAUGACUAUUGGCAGCUGCAUAUAUAUAUAUAUAUAUAUAUAUAUAUAUAUAUAUAUAUAUUUGGCCUAGUACAGGUGUUUUUGUUUCCUUCUCCACAACACAGCCUCCAUCCUGAGUUCUUGCUUCCUGCUGACUCAAGCCCAGGGCAAGACCGAAAUACACAUCACAGUUGACCCAAAUGAGCUGAGAGAAGGACAGAGUGUCACCUUAACACCAGGAAGUGUUGAUCUGAAGCAAUACCACGGCUGCACCUGGUUUCGAGGGACACUUGAAAACAAAAAUCGAAUAUUUACCUAUGCCAGAGCUCUAUUUGAGGAUCAGCUAAAUGGACCUGCCUUCACGGGGAGGGAGACUGUCAACUCGCUUUGCUCCCUUCGCAUCACACUUUUAAGGCUAAAUGACUCGGGAAUGUAUACAUUGACAGUGGGUUUACCUGUGAUACACAAAACGGGGAAUGCAAACCUAACUGUCUCAGGUAUGAGUCUCGCUUCCUUUCCCAUCUUUAAGAGGUGAACUUGAUACUUUUAGAAGUAACCUCCUUUUAUCCCUCCAAAGUUGUGUCCUCGGUUCAGUUCCUGACUAGAUUUAUGAUUAUUAUAUCCUCCAAUGAACUUGCCCCCAGUACAUCUACCGCCCUAGAGAGGUCCAGGCACAACUGCUGAGUUCAGUAAAAAGGUAAAGGGACCCCUGACCGUUAGGUCCAGUCAUGACCAACUCUGGGGUUGUGGUGCUCAUCUCACUUUAUUGGCCGAGGGAGCCAGCGUACAGCUUUCGGGUCAUGUGGCCAGCAUGACUAAGCCACUUCUGGCGAACCAGAGCAGUGCACAGAAACACCAUUUACCUUCCCGCCGGAGUGGUACCUAUUUAUCUACUUGCACUUUGACGUGCUUUCAGACUGCUAGGUUGGCAGGAUCAGGGACUGUGCAACGGGAGCUCACCCCGUCACAGGGAUUCGAACCGCCGACCUUCUGAUCGGCAAGUCCAAGGCUCUGUGGUUUAACCCACAGUGCCACCCGCGUCCCUGCUGAGUUCAGUAAUCACAAGCAAAUAAUGAAGGUUUGGAAAAUAAGUUUUCCUUUAGGUUCCAGUUGUGAGAUGGUUCUUUUUGGCAUUUAGUUUCCCAGCACAUUGCGGUAUCUAGUCCAAAAGCUGUCUUUUCAACUUCAUAGAAUGGGCCUUUUGCUCAAAGGGGAGGUCUCUUUCCCUUCCUUUUUCUCUCCUUUACCAUAAUCUCAGUUCUCAGGUCUAGCUUCCUGUUAACUCAAUGUUGCAACUGAAAUGUUAUAGCUCAGGGGUCAGCAAACUUUUUCAGCAGGGGGCCGGUCCACUGUCCCUCAGACCUUGUGGGGGGCCAGACUAUAUUUUUUGGGUUGGGGGAAUGAACAAAUUCCUAUGUCCCACAAAUAACCCAGAGAUGCAUUUGAAAUAAAAGCACACAUUCUACUCAUGUAAAAACACAUUGAUUCCCGGACUGUCCGCUGGCCGGAUUUAGAGCACGAUUGGGCCGGAUCUAGCCCCCGGGCCUUAGUUUGCCUACCCAUGUUAUAGCUGAACAGAAGAGCCAGCAAGGCUGGAGGGAGGAGCUGCUGGGAUUCUCGACUUUCUCUUGUCUGAUGUUGACUUCCUGAUUUCUCUCCUGGAACACAUGAAAGCAUUUUGUUGUUUGCCUUGUCUAGCGCUAGGGAAAGCACAUCAUCUGCCUCAGGCGUCAGAUUUUGGUGGCUAUUGAAGAUGGCCAGGGUAUAAAUAUUAUUAUUAUUAUUAUUAUUAUUAUUAUUAUUUAUUAGCAGCAGAUUAUUGGAUUAUUAGAAAUUAUGGUAAUUAUUUUAAAUAGGAUUGGGAGCUCUGCUUGUGUUCCCAUCUUAGCCUUACCUUCUCUUACUUCCGGUCCUGCUGGAGCCCUCGCUGGGACCAUUAUCGGAUCUCUGGCUGCGAUAUUGGUGCUGAUGGGAACCCUGACUUACGUCUUCCUCCGUGAGUAACACCAGCACGGGCCCCAUGGUUCAGAUCCUCCAAGUGUCCCUAUUUUGCAGGGACACCCCUGAUUUAGAGAAGACAUCCCUGUUUCUGAUAUGAUCCCGGAAUGCCCUGCUUUUCCUUAGGUAAAGGUAAAGGGUAAAGGGACCCCUGACCGUUAGGUCCAGUCGUGACCGACUCUGGGGUUGCGGCGCUCAUCUCGCUUUAUUGGCCAAGGGAGCCGGCGUUUGUCCCCAGACAGCUUCCGGGUCAUGUGGCCAGCAUGACUAAGCCGCUUCUGGCGAACCAGAGCUGCACACGGAAACGCUGUUACCUUCCCGCUGGAGCGGUACCUAUUUAUCUACUUGCACUUUGUGCUUUUGAACUGCUAGGUUGGCAGGAGCUGGGACCGAGCAACGGGAGCUCACCCCGUCACGGGGAUUCGAACUGCCAACCUUCUGAUCGGCAAGUCCUAGGCUCUGUGGUUCAUCUAUUUUCAUCGGAGAAAUAUUGGAGGGUGUGGAGUUAUGCUACCCCCGAGCCAAGUAGAUAAGUAACUAUACAACUUUUAGAAGACACCUCAAGGCAGUCCUGUAUAGGGAUGGUGUUGUUUUUUUUAAAAGUUUAAUGGGCAGCAUAUAAAUAAUAAAUAAAUUGGAUAAAUGUUGGAGGAUGUGGACUAGUUUGUCCCUAUUUUCAUCAGAGAAAUGUUGGAGGGUAUAGAGUUAUCUGACCCCAUGAGCCAUCUGAAGGCAAUCCUGUAUAGGAAAGGGUUUUUUAUGUUUAAUGUUUUAUUAUGUUUUUUUAUAUAUGUUGGAAGCUGCCCAGAGUGGCUGGGGCAACCCAGGAAGAUGGGUGGGGUAUAAAUAGUGAAAUUACCAUUAUGGAAAUGGACGCCCCUAUUUUCAUUGGACAAAUGUUGAAGGGUAUGCAUAGUUCAGGGGUCCCUCUUCAUUGAGCUGCUAAUGGCCUCAACAGACACACAACACACUCACUCACUCACUUUCUCUCUCUCUCUCUCUCUCUCACACACACACACACACACACACACACCAACCAUUGGGGCCACACAGACAAGCUUGGCUCCCAUUCAAAAGCCACAGUGCACCCACCCACUGCUGAAACAGCUGCCUGAGAGACUAGAGGGGAGUGGCAGCACAGCUGAGUUCAGCCUAAGUAGAGACCCUUCUAAGCUCCUGGGGUCCUCAGCCAGUGCAUGAUCUGGCAACAGGCAGAAACCACUGGAACCUUCCAGGCUGUUUUGGUGCUUUUCCUGCUAUGGGGCAGGAAGCAGAUGCGGGACCCAGGUUGCUUCCACUCUGUGGAAUUAUUCUUAUUAUCAAUUAUUAAUAAUUUUUAUUAUUUUUAUUUAUUAUUUAUACACCGCCCAUCUGGCUGGGUUUUCCCAGCCACUCUGUUUUUUUUUUUAAAAAAGAAUGUUUAUUCCAAUUUUAAGAUUACAUAGAAAGAAAAAAGCAAAAAAAAAAAAAGAAAAACAAAUCACAUACACCCUACAAAAAAAAAAAAAAAACACCACACAAUACAGAAAAAAAUACAAAGGACAAAAAAUCACAAUACAAAAGUAACAAAAAAUCAAAUUAAGCCAUUAAGAUCAUUUUCCCAUUUACUUAUUUCCAAGACUUCCUCUCACUUCUCUGCUUUGUAUUCUAAUUUAAAUCGUAUCUCCAGCAAACCCUUCUAACCUUCUUUUCAUUUACUUAAUUUAACAUUCAAAAAUAUUUAAUUCUCCUCUAUUUUUUAUUUUACACUACAUAUUUCCUUAUUCCAUUAUACUCUGUCUGCCAAUACGGUCUAAUGUUCUUCUCCAACCUUUUCUAGCAUUCUUUUAUAUUACAGUAUUUCUGAAGAUAUGUUUUAAAUUUUUCCAAUCUUCUUCCAUCGACCCUUCUUCUUGGUCUCGUAUUCUGCCGGUCAUCUCAGCCAGUUCCAUAUAGUCUAUCACUUUUCUCUGCCAUUCUUCUCGGGUAGGCAAUUCUUGUGUUUUCCAGUAUUUCCCAAUGAGUAUUCUUGCCGCUGCUGUCGCAUACAUAAAGAAAUUCCUGUCUUCCCUUCGCACCAAUUGGCCGACCAUGCCCAAGAGGAAGGCCUCUGGUUUCUUCAAGAAAGUAUAUUUCAAUACCUUUUUAAUUCAUUAUAUAUCAUUUCCCAGAAGGCCUUGAUCUUUGGGCACGUCCACCAAAGGUGGAAAAAGUACCUUCAUUUUCUUUACAUUUCCAACAUUUAUUAUCAGGCAGAUGAUAAAUUUUUGCUAGCUUGACUGGGGUUAAGUACCACCUGUAUAUCAUUUUCAUUAUGUUUUCUCUUAAGGCGUUACAGGCCGUAAAUUUCAUACCUGUGGUCCAUAACCUUUCCCAGUCAGCAAACAUAAUAUUAUGCCCUACAUCUUGCGCCCAUUUAAUCAUAGCAGAUUUAACCAUUUCAUCCUGUGUAUUCCAUUUCAACAGCAGAUUAUACAUUCUUGACAAAUUUUUGGUUUUGGGUUCUAACAAUUCCGUUUCCAGUUUAGAUUUUUCCUCCUGGAAACCUAUCUUUUUAUCUAAGUUAAAAACCUCCCUUAUUUGAUAAUAAUGCAGCCAAUCUCGAACCUUAGUUUUUAAUUUGUCAAAGCUCUGCAAUUUUAGUUUAUCUCCGACUUGUUCUAAAAUUUCGCAAUAUUUUGGCCAAUUUGUCUCCAUGUUUGUUUUUUCAAAGCCUUAGCCUCCAUUGGUGACAGCCACCUUGGUGUUUUACUUUCCAACAGAUCCUUAUAUCUCACCCAAACAUUAAAUAAUGCUUUCCUGACAAUAUGAUUCUUGAAGGCCUUAUGCGCUUUAACUUUGUCAUACCAUAAAUAUGCAUGCCACCCAAACACAUUAUCGAAACCUUCUAAAUCUAAAAUGUCCACAUUUUCAAGAAGUAGCCAAUCUUUCAGCCGGGUUUCCCCAGCCACUCUGGGCGGUUCUCAACAGAAUAUUAAAAACGCGAUAAAAUAUCAAACAUUAAAAAGGCUGCCUAAGGCAGGGAGGGCGUUCCACAGGGCGGGCGCCACUACCGAGAAGGCCCUCUGCCUGUUUCCGUGUCACCUCACUUCUCACAGUGAGGGAACCGCCAGAAGGCCCUCGGCGCCGGACCUCAGUGUCCACUGCAUUUCAUUCAAACACACCUCAUGCAUUGCUUAUUCAGUCACUGGGAGUUUGUUGUUUUCAGAACUCAGAAAAUUCAACUUUUUAAAAAAACUUAGUGGAAUAGCUGGACAGUUUUGCCAGGUAUAGAGGCCUUAUUGCCCUGCUAUUCUGGCCAAUCGUGGUCCAUAGAGCAACUUCCUAAAUUAUCCUAGAAACUUCUAUGUCCUCUCCAUUAGUUUGACCCACUUCUUUCGAAUAGCAUUGCUUUAUUAUUAUUAUUAUUAUUAUUAUUAUUAUUAUAUAUCACCCUUCUUCAAAGAUCAUUGGGUGGCUUACAAUAUGCAAGACUCAUAAGAAUACGGAAAACUGAGAAAGGGAAUCAUUUUGCUGAAGAUUGCUUGAUGUUACACUGCUGUCGCAGGCCGAUCUGUAGAGUCUGCACUGGAGUAAGGUGUUCCGUGUUAAGACUUUAUUCCCGGACUCCCCCCCACCCCUCCAGGUGUCCGUCAUAGGAAGGACAAAACUUCUACCACAACCUCUGCGGCCACACCCACCCCUCAAAUAUAUGAGAAUGUUCUUCCACCAGGACAGAGAAAGCCUGAGGUAAGUGACUUGGGGUGGGUAUUUGUCAUGAGAUAAAUACUCCUCAAGCAUGUAGUUAUUUCAGAGUGCCCACUGACAUAGAAAUGCAAGCCCAUAUCCCCCCCCUCCCCAAUUUCAUCUGAAUUUACCCUUUCAGGCGGUGGGGAGGGGGAUGCGCGCAAUGAAAUUCAGACACGUGGUUUAUAUACUUAUGUAUGUGUUUGCCUUGUAAAUUUAUGAGCAUUUAAUUUGUAUAUUUGAGACCUCAAAUUCUUAUAACAGCCCCUUCCAACUCUACAAUUUUGUGACCGAUGAAUGAUCUUUGCCAUCUUUUCCUCUUUGUUGCAGAUUGAGCCUGAAAGCUCCUCUGAGGCUGCCAAUGUAUAUUUGGUGAGUGGAAAUCCCUUGCGCUUUAAAUGUCAAAUAUGUUCCAAAUAUCUGUUGUUGGCAGGAGCCCCUUGGCAGCUAUCACGCUUCAUCAAUGCAGCCGGAUAUACAUGGGCUUCCAAUUUAUUUGCAUUCCAUGCAGGGCCGUCUUACCCAUAGGCACUAGGGGUGCGGGGCAUCCGGGCGCAGUCUCUCAGGGGUGCCAGGCCGAGAGUCCGGGGCCGAGAUUUGAAGUCCGGGGAUUGGGAAGAGUCAACAGCCGCUGCUGAGCGGAGCAGAACAGAGCCCAUCAGAGUACAAAGCUCUUCUGCUGCGGGUGAGCGAGGCACUGAGGCAGCCGGCCGGCCCUGCGCUCCUGCUCGCCUGGGAUUGGUGGGCCGUUGAGAGGCCCGUCCAGCGCACGCUGCUCACACGAGGCACCUGGCUUCGCUCAGCCGCCUCAGUCUCGACUGUUGUUGCACUGGGCUCUGCUUGCCCACCCCUUCAGACGCCUGACCCCGGCCUUGCUCUGCUGCCACCGACGCCUCAGGCUACUCUGUUGUUGUUGAGGCGGCCAGCCAGGCCAGCUCUGCUGCGCGCGCCUCACUGGCCCACCCUAAAAAAGGUCAACAACUUAGGGGUUCCCCCUACAACUCUGGGCAACCUGGGGGGCCCCCGGUGGAUCUUUGUACCCCGGUGCUGCAUAUGCUUUAGACGGCCCUGAUUCCAUGCAAAGGAGACACGGUAAAAGGGCUUAUACCAGGCAUCCCCAAACUCAGCCCUCCAGAUGUUUUGGACAACUCCCAUCAUCCCUGACCACUGGUCCUGUUAGCUAGGGAUGAUGGGAGUUGUAGUCCCAAAACAUCUGGAGGGCCGAGUUUGGGGGUGACUGGCUUAUACACAUCCACCUUUGGCUCUGUGCAUCACCAUUUGCUCCAAUUCGAUGGUUAGAAGCAAGUUUUUGCAGGGAAACUGGCGAGCAAAAGAAAAACAACAACAACUUUGUUGUUUGUUGUUACUGGACCUGGUAAGCCCAGCCAGGUGAGAAUGGAUGAGCCCUACCUCAUGCAGAAUGAGGGCAAUUUGCAAAUGAAAAUGUGUUUGUGGCUUCCACCUGAGCCAUCUCCAUUUUAUCUUUAGGACUUGCAGCCCACAACCCAGUCUGUAUAUGAAGAGAUGAAGAGAUAACAGAUGGACCCCGCAACCUCCUCUCCACUGCUGAGGCCUCUCAGGGGCCCUCAAGCCUCUUUCCCUUUCAAAUUUCUUCCUUUCAGCUGCAGCCAAGUGAUUUUCGGGACCAGGACAUUUUCUCUUCAGGGCUUAAUCCUUCUGGAAAUCCUAGUCCUUGUUCUGAACACAGGAGCCAGCUUUGGUUCCUGAGGGUCUUUCGUGCUGCAUGAUGGGAACAACUUGCAGAUACUGAGACAGAAAUGUGAGGGAACCUCUCCCUGGAAAAGGCUAGACUGAAAUCCUUGAAAUCACACCUAACAUGUCUAAAGGAUUGACGCUGAGGGGGGAGAAAGGAAGUGGGCAAAUCCUCAUUAAAACCCACCAGCAUCUUUCUCCUACUGGACACAUUUUUGUACGCCGUUUUGAAGGAUAUUCUAAUUCUUGCAAGCAAUUUCUCCUAAUAUGAGGCAUGGUUUCCUGAGAUUUUCAUGGAUCAGUUCUUUUCAAUGCACAUUUUCACCUAAUAUAUGCAUUCUGGCAUGCAUAGCUUCCGGGUCAUUUUAAGGUUUGGAUAAGUGAAAAUUUAGAAGGAUGUCUGUAGUUCAGUUCUCAUCAUCCAAAAAGAGACCUCAUUCCAUACUCUCCAACAUUUCUCCAACAUUCUCUUAUAUAUGUUGGAAACUGCCCAGAGUGGCUGGGGCAACCCAAUAAGAUGUGUGCGGUAUAAAUAGUAAAAUUAUCAUUAUGGAAUGGGACAUCCCUAUUUUCGUGUCCAAGCAAACAGCAGCAUAGCAAAAGCAAUAUACAAACAGAAGUUCCCAGCAGACUGUGCUGGAAGUAAACAGGCAUGUGACACACAACAGUCAUGCCUGAUCCUAUUAAGCUGGAACGGAACUAUAUCCCAACAUCCUCCCCCUUUCCGUGUAACCUGUAGUACCUGUGGUUCAACCCAAUUGCAACCUCUGUACAUAAACGUUAAGUUGUUCUCUGUUAACAACCUUAGACAACAGAUCUGCAGGAAUUUCGUUUCCUGGCAUGUAGGACACCUGAAUGAGUCCUUUCUGAAUACACUCUCUUGCACGAUGAACUUAAUCUGCAAGUACUUGGUUCUUUGCUUUCAACUCUCUGAGUUCAGCAAAGCCAAACAGGAUCUGUUACCUUGAUACACCUGUAUAGGACAUUUCACAGAAACUCUGAUGUCCUGAAACAGUUGCAUCAACCAUUCACAAUCCAUGAGUGAAAAUGACAGGGCACUGAAUUCUGCUUCACAGGAACUUAGGCUUACUGUUGUCUGCUUUUUGCACAGCUAGUCAAACAGACAGUGGUUGUACAUGUAGCACACUCCAGAAGUGCUGGUACCAUCCGUGGUGCCACUUCCAAAACUAGCAUCUGCAAAGAUUUCAAGACCUCCGUCUGUAGUGCAUAGUGCCUUUCAAAUUGGUAGGGAGAAAGGCCAAAGGAACCCAGUCAUCCUCCAGCUGCUGGCAAACGAAUCCAGCUUUCCAGGUGAGGUGAACUGGGGUGAAAGUGAUGGGUGAGGAUGACUUGCUCUCUUCUGCAUAUCAACUACAAGCGUCACUGAUGAGAAAACUUCCAGAAAUCAAAGAGAGGGUACAACUACGGUACUUAAUGGGUUCAGAAGAUUAAACACCUGUGCAUGAAAUCUUGGUUCACUUGUAUUGGGGGGGAAGUAGUAUGGCAAUACCUUAGCACAGUAGUUCUCCGAGC